Molecule: long non-coding RNA, 629 nt
Filed under: Brassica rapa (field mustard)
Lineage: Eukaryota; Viridiplantae; Streptophyta; Magnoliopsida; Brassicales; Brassicaceae
Description: long non-coding RNA (BRAP_LNC000640)
Source: RNAcentral
UUGAUUUGUUUUAUAUGUUCGUAAUAUAUAAUUACAUAUUGUAUUAUUUUGUUUAAGUAUUUGUUCGUUUGACCAAAAAAGAAAGUGUUUGUUCGUCUGAUCAUGUAUAUCAACACGAGCACUACUGGUGGGGCAAAUGUCAGCCACGCAAUUAAAGGGAGGUGAAAACCCCACUCAAAGGUGUUGGCCGGUGUGCAAUAACUUAUCCCUUCCAUGUUUAUCACAAAAUCACAACAAAUAUGCGUCAGCAUCUUCAAUUAGAACUCUUUUAAUUAAUAAACCUAAAUUUAAACCGCAAGUGAGCCUGAUUAGGAGUAUAUAUAUCACCGCAAUAGCUAGUUUUUUAAAAAAAAAAAAAAUUUUACGGGAGUACAUAUAAAUUUAGAUGAGGUCUAUUUCAUUUUCUAGAGCUUACAUCAAAUAAACCGCCAAAUACGUAGCAGAAUUUAUGAAUUUUGUUAUACUCGGAUCUCUCCUGACUGGUAGUUUUUUUAAACAAGAUUGAUGUAAAAUAAAUAUAUGUUAGAUACGGUCCUUAUGUUAAAUGUGUAAAGUUCUAAUGUAAUGUGUGUUGGAUCUAUAUCCUAGUCCGUCACAAUUGUAAAGUGCAGUUCAUUAUUACGAUUCAC